CCUAUCACCUGAAUUGCUCUACCUCUCAACCAGUCUGUCUGCAUCUCUCUUUCUAAGGUAUUCAGUAGUAAUAUUGUUUAUAUCUGCAUUUCAGGGACCUAUAGCUAUGAGAAUGGCUAAGCUUGCCAUUAACAGAGGAAUUGAGGUUGACUUGGCAACAGGUUUAGCGAUUGAAGAAGCUUGUUAUGCUCAGGUCAUUCCAACGAAGGACAGAAUUGAAGGUCUAACUGCAUUCAAAGAGAAAAGACCACCGUGUUACAAGGGAGAAUAAGAAAAAGCAUUUAAAAGGAUGCCAGGAAUAUUGCCUGAUUCACAUGGGUUCGGUGGAAGUCGGACGUCCAGAAGGGGGGUGGAGCUACUGUACAUUAAACCAUUGACCCGGAAGGUUCACAGCAUGGCAUUCGUGGAUUGGAGGAGCAGAUGUGCUAGUUAACCAAGGGGUCAUGGUUGAUGGUAUAAAUGGGGGGUGUAGUAAUGUGAUCUGUGCCUUAUUAUGAUUAGGCUGAAACUGAAAGGACCUGAGUAUUACGAGAGAGAACAGCGAGUGUUUUGUCUGUCUGUCUUUCUAAAUCAUUGUUCAUUGUUAUUUGUUCACGUAGACUAGACAGCUAACACGAUCCAGAGCCGUCACCCACGGCCAGCACUAAAACCCAGACAACAUUUCACCACUUGUUCAGCAGGUGUAGCACAUAUUGUGUUGUACUUCACCACAUGCAAGAGCACUCACUUUGGACUUGUGAUCGUGUGUGUGUCUCUAUUGUGUGUUUAGUACUGUGCUUAUUAUUUAUGGGAAUG
This is a long non-coding RNA of Polyodon spathula (Mississippi paddlefish), 795 nucleotides long. RefSeq lists it as uncharacterized. NCBI's taxonomy places the organism in Eukaryota, Metazoa, Chordata, Actinopteri, Acipenseriformes, Polyodontidae. The record is from RefSeq and is a predicted model, not a curated record. The transcript has 4 exons.